Molecule: non-coding RNA, 125 nt
Filed under: uncultured eukaryote
Lineage: Eukaryota
Source: RNAcentral
AUAGAAAUGUAACUUAAGAUAGAAAAUAAUAUGACUUAAGAUAGAAAUAAUAUGACUUAAGUAGAAAUUUAAGAUAGGUUCAUCGCCUCUCUCCUUCUUUCGUUUCUUUGUUUAUUCCUUGUCCC